AUUAAAAAAGAAAAGAAAAACAGACUUCCUCUUCUAGCUCGUGAAUCCUUUCCUCCCAAUCUCACUCCCUCUGCAUCGCUCUCCACUCUCCGCCUCGAACUCGCUCUCAAUUUCCUCUUCUCACCAAAAACCCCUCAAUCCUCUUGCUCUCAAAUGAAUGCUCCAGAAAGACUUAAAAAAAACACUCACCUCCGGUAGUGGUAAUGACGGUGAUGAUGGAGUUUGGAAGGGUGUCGUGGCUGACGGUGAAGGAUCCGCGGAGGAAGAUUUCGGGCCUUUUCGGUUUGUCCGUUAACUCCUUUUUUCAAUUUUUCGUUGUGACUAGGGUUUUUUGAAUCGCCUCCGCCGUCCCCUUUCUCUCUCUCACUCGCUUCCUUUUAUCCUUGCACAUUAGGGUUUCGGUUGGUGUAUGAAGAUUCAAAAGAGAAAGCUCCAGAAAAUCUUUUGGAUGCUCAGAAUUGGAGUUUAGCCUGUUUGAUGCUAUCUUCCGGAAAGGGAAUUGAACUGCUGAUGCUGCUGUAAUAGAUGCAUUUCAUUUAUUCCUGAAUGCUGUCUAGGUAAAGGCUGAAGCAUUCCGUUUUGGCGGCCACUUAAUUGCUGUUGUCCUCCAAAGAAAUCAAAAUUGACAGGAGAUUCACCAGCAUCAUUCCUAGCCAAGUUUUUCUUAUAAAGCUCAAGACCACUGCUCCCUUGUGACUCUGGCACAGGGCCACCAUUGUGUUUGUUGUAGUGAUCAAGCUUGACGAGAAGAGACUUGAACCGCUAUCCAUAGCCAAAAUCAGCUUGAUACUGGAUACAAGAAGGUUAUCAUGACGAAGAUAUCUAAUUACCAACUUCUGCAGGACCUUCUUUGCAAGUCGAAUCUUGACCGGUGAAAACCACUAGAAGCCGUUGCUGCAACACGGAAAUCAACUGGGGUGAAGCCAACAAGGGAACAACUUGAAGCCGCAAUGGAAUUCUGGGAAAGCUUGAAGUACAUUUGAUCCCUGGAUACAGACCGCCAAUUUGGUCCUGUCACCCACCUCCGGUACCUAUGAGUUGUUCCAACACCAAAACGAGUCUAGCAACAUUCAACAUUUGGUUAGAGCAGGUAGCAAUGCUCUUUGAAAUUGCACCUAAAAGAAAGGCCAAAAGCGCAGACAGUGAUGCUGGAGAUACUCCUUUCUCAGCGGUGUUUUGUUUAUUCGUCGGCACUUGCUGCUUCAGCGGAUCAAAUAUUGUACUGAAUUGCAGGGUUGGCAGGAGAUUUACCGAGCUCAACCAAGGAGCUGUAACUCAAGAUUGAAGUCUGCUUGGACCACCUUUUUUAUUUGUCUUCAAUUUUUGUUUAGCCAUAGUUUUGCUUUUUAAAUGCCAAACAUUGUAGAACAUAUGUAUUUCUUCAUUGCUACGAUCACAGAAAAUUGAUGCUAAAAUCUAAAUAAGUUUAUGA
Long non-coding RNA from Lathyrus oleraceus (garden pea), 1432 nucleotides. RefSeq lists it as uncharacterized. NCBI's taxonomy places the organism in Eukaryota, Viridiplantae, Streptophyta, Magnoliopsida, Fabales, Fabaceae. The transcript has 4 exons. The record is from RefSeq and is a predicted model, not a curated record.